RNAcentral lists this long non-coding RNA (945 nucleotides) under Lonchura striata (white-rumped munia). Its description in RNAcentral is "domestica (Bengalese finch) lncRNA (ENSLSDG00000016002.1)". The record is from RNAcentral. Lineage: Eukaryota; Metazoa; Chordata; Aves; Passeriformes; Estrildidae.
AUAAAAAAGAAGCUGCUGUAUCCAAAGAACUCAAAAAGCCAGCAAAAGCUCCUACAGCCAACCCAGCCAUCAAGAAAGCAGCAACACCAGAACUGCAUAAAAAAGAAAAAAUAAUGGAAUCUGGCAAAAUAACAAAGAAAGAAACAAAAGUACAUGCAGCUGUGGAAACUCCAAAGUCAAAAGCAGGUCUUGAAAAAAAAGAAGGAAAAGCAACAAAGGCAGUAAUGCAAGAUAAACCAAAGAUGAAACAAGGAAAUCCUGGAAAAGAGAAAGAAUUGAAAUCUCCAGCUGCCACAAAAGAUAAAGAACAUGCUAAAGAAAAGGAGGGGAAGAAUCCUACAUCUUUAAAAGAAAAAGUAUUUACAGGUCCUUCUAACAUGACAAAGGUGGCUAGACUUUCUCCGCACAACCUUCAGAAUAAAGCAGAUUCCCUGAAAGGAAAAAAUCCCAAGAAUCCAGAGAGCAUAAGAGAAAAAGAGAGUGGAAAAAGAAAAGAUGUGAAGCCUCCAACAGCCUUAAAGGAAAAAGACUCUUCAAAACGAAAAGAAAUCAAGGCUUCAACUAAUCCUAAGGAAAAAGCUGCAGUGAAAAAGGAGGGGGAGAAGAAAGCUUCCUCAGAGAACCCGCAUGAGCACAAGCAUGAACGUGUUAAACAUGAAAAAGCUGCCUCUCAGACAAAGCCAGAGGAGAAAAUGAAACAACCAAAGACUAUUCCCACUGAGAAGUCAGCCCAGGCAAAAUCAGCAAAGCAUGAAGCAGUCAGACAUGAAAAAGAUGUCCCCCUUACAAAACCAGUCAAACCAAAAAACACUGCAAAACCAACAGCUGAAAUCCCAACAUCAGUCACAAAAAAACCAAAGACAACCAAGGAAAAAGAAGGUAGGAAUUUAUUCUAUGUGUACAUAUAUAUGUAGACGAUCACAAUAAAAAUAGUAUGAGAUUGCA